Molecule: ribosomal RNA, 2656 nt
Filed under: Streptococcus pneumoniae
Lineage: Bacteria; Bacillati; Bacillota; Bacilli; Lactobacillales; Streptococcaceae
Description: bacterial LSU rRNA
Rfam family: Bacterial large subunit ribosomal RNA
Source: RNAcentral
AGCGAAACGGCAGGAGGGCAAACCGAAGAGUUUACUCUUCGGGGUUGUAGGACUGCAAUGUGGACUCAAAGAUUAUAGAAGAAUGAUUUGGGAAGAUCAGCCAAAGAGAGUAAUAGCCUCGUAUUUAAAAUAGUCUUUGUACUUAGCAGUAUCCUGAGUACGGCGGGACACGUGAAAUCCCGUCGGAAUCCGGGAGGACCAUCUCCCAACCCUAAAUACUCCCUAGUGACCGAUAGUGAACCAGUACCGUGAGGGAAAGGUGAAAAGCACCCCGGGAGGGGAGUGAAAUAGAACCUGAAACCGUGUGCCUACAACAAGUUCGAGCCCGUUAAUGGGUGAGAGCGUGCCUUUUGUAGAAUGAACCGGCGAGUUACGUUAUGAUGCGAGGUUAAGUUGAAGAGACGGAGCCGUAGGGAAACCGAGUCUGAAUAGGGCGCCUUAGUAUCAUGACGUAGACCCGAAACCAUGUGACCUACCCAUGAGCAGGUUGAAGGUGCGGUAAGACGUACUGGAGGACCGAACCAGGGCACGUUGAAAAGUGCUUGGAUGACUUGUGGGUAGCGGAGAAAUUCCAAACGAACUUGGAGAUAGCUGGUUCUCUCCGAAAUAGCUUUAGGGCUAGCGUCGACAUUAGAGAUUCUUGGAGGUAGAGCACUGUUUGGGUGAGGGGUCCAUCCCGGAUUACCAAUCUCAGAUAAACUCCGAAUGCCAAUGAAUUAUGGUCGGCAGUCAGACUGCGAGUGCUAAGAUCCGUAGUCGAAAGGGAAACAGCCCAGACCACCAGCUAAGGUCCCAAAAUAAUUGUUAAGUGGAAAAGGAUGUGGGGUUGCACAGACAACUAGGAUGUUAGCUUAGAAGCAGCUAUUCAUUCAAAGAGUGCGUAAUAGCUCACUAGUCGAGUGACCCUGCGCCGAAAAUGUACCGGGGCUAAAACAAUUUACCGAAGCUGUGGAUACCUUUAUAGGUAUGGUAGGAGAGCGUUCUAUGUGUGAUGAAGGUGUACCGUGAGGAGUGCUGGAACGCAUAGAAGUGAGAAUGCCGGUAUGAGUAGCGAAAGACAGGUGAGAAUCCUGUCCACCGUAAGACUAAGGUUUCCAGGGGAAGGCUCGUCCGCCCUGGGUUAGUCGGGACCUAAGGAGAGACCGAAAGGUGUAUCCGAUGGACAACAGGUUGAUAUUCCUGUACUAGAGUAUGUAGUGAUGGAGGGACGCAGUAGGCUAACUAAAGCAGACGAUUGGAAGAGUCUGUCUAAGCAGUGAGGUGUGAAUUGAGUCAAAUGCUUAAUUCUAUAACAUUGAGCUGUGAUGGGGAGCGAAGUUUAGUAGCGAAGUUAGUGACGUCACACUGCCAAGAAAAGCUUCUAGCGUUUAAACAUACUCUACCCGUACCGCAAACCGACACAGGUAGUCGAGGCGAGUAGCCUCAGGUGAGCGAGAGAACUCUCGUUAAGGAACUCGGCAAAAUGACCCCGUAACUUCGGGAGAAGGGGUGCUGACUUUAAGUCAGCCGCAGUGAAUAGGCCCAAGCAACUGUUUAUCAAAAACACAGCUCUCUGCUAAAUCGUAAGAUGAUGUAUAGGGGGUGACGCCUGCCCGGUGCUGGAAGGUUAAGAGGAGUGCUUAGCGUAAGCGAAGGUAUGAAUUGAAGCCCCAGUAAACGGCGGCCGUAACUAUAACGGUCCUAAGGUAGCGAAAUUCCUUGUCGGGUAAGUUCCGACCCGCACGAAAGGCGUAAUGAUUUGGGCACUGUCUCAACGAGAGACUCGGUGAAAUUUUAGUACCUGUGAAGAUGCAGGUUACCCGCGACAGGACGGAAAGACCCCAUGGAGCUUUACUGCAGUUUGAUAUUGAGUGUCUGUACCACAUGUACAGGAUAGGUAGGAGUCUAAGAGAUCGGGACACCAGUUUCGAAGGAGACGCUGUUGGGAUACUACCCUUGUGUUAUGGCCACUCUAACCCAGAUAGGUGAUCCCUAUCGGAGACAGUGUCUGACGGGCAGUUUGACUGGGGCGGUCGCCUCCUAAAAGGUAACGGAGGCGCCCAAAGGUUCCCUCAGAAUGGUUGGAAAUCAUUCGCAGAGUGUAAAGGUAUAAGGGAGCUUGACUGCGAGAGCUACAACUCGAGCAGGGACGAAAGUCGGGCUUAGUGAUCCGGUGGUUCCGUAUGGAAGGGCCAUCGCUCAACGGAUAAAAGCUACCCUGGGGAUAACAGGCUUAUCUCCCCCAAGAGUUCACAUCGACGGGGAGGUUUGGCACCUCGAUGUCGGCUCGUCGCAUCCUGGGGCUGUAGUCGGUCCCAAGGGUUGGGCUGUUCGCCCAUUAAAGCGGCACGCGAGCUGGGUUCAGAACGUCGUGAGACAGUUCGGUCCCUAUCCGUCGCGGGCGUAGGAAAUUUGAGAGGAUCUGCUCCUAGUACGAGAGGACCAGAGUGGACUUACCGCUGGUGUACCAGUUGUCUUGCCAAAGGCAUCGCUGGGUAGCUAUGUAGGGAAGGGAUAAACGCUGAAAGCAUCUAAGUGUGAAACCCACCUCAAGAUGAGAUUUCCCAUGAUUAUAUAUCAGUAAGAGCCCUGAGAGAUGAUCAGGUAGAUAGGUUAGAAGUGGAAGUGUGGCGACACAUGUAGCGGACUAAUACUAAUAGCUCGAGGACUUAUCCAA